RNA transcript from Lycium ferocissimum, 563 nucleotides. It is a transcript of the gene named NADH dehydrogenase [ubiquinone] 1 beta subcomplex subunit 3-B-like, with no coding region annotated. The transcript has 2 exons. NCBI's taxonomy places the organism in Eukaryota, Viridiplantae, Streptophyta, Magnoliopsida, Solanales, Solanaceae. The record is from RefSeq and is a predicted model, not a curated record.
GGCAAGUGCUCCACUUAUUCAUCAAUCAAUCAAUCAAUUUGGGUGAAAUCAGGAAGAGAGAUCGAAAAUGGGGAAACCAUUGGGAGCGACCGGAGAGUUUUUCAGGCGAAGGGACGAGUGGAGGAAACAUCCUAUGUUGACCAAUCAGUUCCGCCACGCUUUCCCUGGCCUUGGCAUCGCUGUUGUAGCAUUCAGCAUUUACUGUGUAGGCGAAUAUGCUUACAACAACAUGUCUCAACCUUCUCACUCCACUACCUCUGCUUCUCAUUCUCACUGACAUGGUACGACGUUGUUCUGGUUUUUUGAUAUAUUUUAUGAAAUCUCAACCAACUUUUUUGAAGUUUUUGGCGUUUGUGAUUUUUUUUUUAGUUUUAGGAAAUGGGUCUCAUUAAUAUGCCACUGAUCCGAAAGGGGAACACAUAUUUUGAUGAAUUAGGUCUUAUUGAUGCGAAACAGUUUAAGUGUUUAAAUACGUUCCUGUUAUAAUGGAUUGGAGAUUGUAUGAUCCUAUGCUAAGGAAUGUCUUUGGUGAUGCUCAAUGGAUGCUUGAUUUGCGUCCACUA